RNAcentral lists this ribosomal RNA (254 nucleotides) under uncultured bacterium. RNAcentral describes it as "partial 16S ribosomal RNA". It matches the Rfam family "Bacterial small subunit ribosomal RNA", at positions 524 to 776 of the family's 1533-position model. The record is from RNAcentral.
UACGGGGGGAGCAAGCGUUGUUCGAAUUUACUGGGCGUAAAGGGCGCGUAGGCGGCCAGCACAAGUCAGUUGUGAAAUCUCCGAGCUUAACUCGGAAAGGUCAACUGAUACUGUGCGGCUAGAGUGCGGAAGGGGCAACUGGAAUUCUUGGUGUAGCGGUGAAAUGCGUAGAUAUCAAGAGGAACACCUGCGGCGAAGGCGGGUUGCUGGGCCGACACUGACGCUGAUGCGCGAAAGCUAGGGGAGCGAACGGG